UGUGAGAGUAAUUAGAAAAAUAAAAUGUUAUUUUGGUGUAUUUUUGUUUUAGAGUAUUAUAUGAAAGGAUUUUAUGCUUGAUAAUGUAAGUUUUCUCUUUGUAUUUUUCUCCAAAAAUAAAUAAAUUUAUAUCAGCCAAAAGAAGUACCUCUUUAAUUAAGUACAAACUCUUGCUCAUACCCCUGCAAGUUUUGCUAUAAGGAGUGAACAAGAAGGAAGG
RNAcentral lists this long non-coding RNA (220 nucleotides) under Elaeis guineensis (African oil palm). Its description in RNAcentral is "long non-coding RNA (EGUI_LNC025641)". The record is from RNAcentral. Lineage: Eukaryota; Viridiplantae; Streptophyta; Magnoliopsida; Arecales; Arecaceae.